UGAGCAAUCUGCCCUUCUCUUCGGAAUAAGCGUGGGAAACCGCGUUUAAUGCCGAAUACGACCUCCUUUCGCAUGAUCGGAGGUGGAAAGCUCCGGCGGAGAAGGGUGAGCUCGCGGCCUAUCAGCUAGUUGGUGUGGGUAAUGGCCCACCAAGGCGACGACGGGUAGCCGGCCUGAGAGGGUGACCGGCCACACUGGGACUGAGACACGGCCCAGACUCCGUACGGGAGGCAGNAGU
This 238-nucleotide ribosomal RNA is filed under the name uncultured bacterium. RNAcentral describes it as "partial 16S ribosomal RNA". It matches the Rfam family "Bacterial small subunit ribosomal RNA", at positions 118 to 355 of the family's 1533-position model. The record is from RNAcentral.